Molecule: ribosomal RNA, 497 nt
Filed under: uncultured bacterium
Lineage: Bacteria
Description: partial 16S ribosomal RNA
Rfam family: Bacterial small subunit ribosomal RNA
Source: RNAcentral
GAUGAACGCUGGCGGCGUGCCUAAUACAUGCAAGUCGAGCGAACGGACGAGAAGCUUGCUUUUCUGAUGUUAGCGGCGGACGGGUGAGUAACACGUGGAUAACCUACCUAUAAGACUGGGAUAACUUCGGGAAACCGGAGCUAAUACCGGAUAAUAUUUUGAACCGCAUGGUUCAAAAGUGAAAGACGGUCUUGCUGUCACUUAUAGAUGGAUCCGCGCUGCAUUAGCUAGUUGGUAAGGUAACGGCUUACCAAGGCAACGAUGCAUAGCCGACCUGAGAGAGUGAUAGGCCACACUGGAACUGAGACACGGUCCAGGCUCCUACGGGAGGCAGCAGUAGGGAAUCGUACGCAAUGGGCGAGAGCCUGACGGAGCAACGCCGCGUGAGUGAUGGAGGUCUUCGGAUCGUAAAACUCUGUUAUUAGGGAAGAACAUAUGUGUAAGUAACUGUGCACAUCUUGACGGUACCUAAUCAGAAAGCCACGGCUAACUACGUG